GCUGCCUAUCAAGUCGACGGUCCCGUGCGAACGGGUGAAAAGGGAAUGUCGUAUAACUCUGGCUGGGGAAGGUUUUCCCGGGAGUUCAGUCGAUAACUGCCCCCGCAACUGUAGACGGCGAGCGUUGUGUCCUCAGCUACCAAUUGGGUAGCAGCCACUGGCUUCGGUUGGGAAGGCAGACGUAACGUGAUGACCCGUGAGUCAGGAGACCUACCGUCGAGUCCAGAUAUGU
This 232-nucleotide non-coding RNA is filed under the name Komagataeibacter medellinensis. Lineage: Bacteria; Pseudomonadati; Pseudomonadota; Alphaproteobacteria; Acetobacterales; Acetobacteraceae. The record is from RNAcentral.